GAAUCAUAUAAAUAUCAGCUGUAGGGACAGAUUUCAAUUAAUCUGAAGUUAUUUGAUUUAGAUUGAUCUCGGUUUGUUUGUCGAGAAUAAAAGAGCGUCAUGUUGUCGAUGAAGAUAUUGGUUGUUAUCGCAAUGGCCUUGAUAAUAUGUACUGCACAUGCUCAACGUAGAGGUGGAAGGCGGCCCAGGAUUGCAGGACGAUUUGUAAAGGUUAUAGGUUUAGUUUGUAAACUGAAGGCGAGAGUAGAGGAGUUUUCAGAUGACUCUAUUGGACCGUUUUUUGAAUCUUUAGAUGACGCUUGCGAUGAAUUUGAGACGAUCCGAAAAACGCUAGUAUCGAAGCUAACUGAGAAACUUGUGUCGCCAAUUACCGGUGUGCCAACUACCCCUGUGUCAACUACCCCUGCGCCGUUACCAACUACCAACUCUGUAUUGCCUCCAUCAUCACCACCGGGUAAACGAUCCAAUAUGAUUAGGAAACGUUUAUUGGAGUCGUUGCUCGCAUUAAUGCAGUGAUAGUUUACUAAAAUAAAAUAUUGAGUGGGUUAAA
This is a long non-coding RNA of Patella vulgata (common limpet), 550 nucleotides long. RefSeq lists it as uncharacterized. NCBI's taxonomy places the organism in Eukaryota, Metazoa, Mollusca, Gastropoda, Patellidae. The record is from RefSeq and is a predicted model, not a curated record. The transcript is spliced from 4 exons.